GUUUUAUUGAUUAUAAUUUUAAGUCUGAUCUGCCCAGUGAAUUUUAAAUGGCUGCAGUAUUUUAACUGUACAAAGGUAGCAUAAUAAUUAGUUUCUUAAUUAGGAACUGGAAUGAAAGAUUGAACGAGAUAAUGACUGUCUUAAUUUAAUUUAAAGAAUUUUAUUUUUAAGUUAAAAAGCUUAAAUUUUUUUAAAAGACGAGAAGACCCUAUAGAAUUUUAUUUGAUUAUGAAAUUUAAAUUUUGGUAUUUAAAUUUUGAAUUUUUAUAGGAAAAAUUUAAUUGGGGUGAUUAAAAAAUUUAUGAAACUUUUUUUUUUAUUUUAGACAUAAAUUUAUGAAUUAUUGAUCCAAUAUUGUUGAUUAUAAGAUUAAAUUACCUUAGGGAUAACAGCGUAAUUUUUUUAGAGAGUUCUUAUCGAUAAAAGAGAUUGCGACCUCGAUGUUGGAUUAAAAUUAAUUUUUAAUGUAGAAGUUAAAAUAUUAGGUCUGUUCGACCUUUA
This 501-nucleotide ribosomal RNA is filed under the name Paranillochlamys velox. Its description in RNAcentral is "partial 16S ribosomal RNA". It matches the Rfam family "Bacterial large subunit ribosomal RNA", at positions 1825 to 2590 of the family's 2925-position model. The record is from RNAcentral. Lineage: Eukaryota; Metazoa; Arthropoda; Insecta; Coleoptera; Leiodidae.